GAUGAACGCUGGCGGCGUGCCUAAUACAUGCAAGUCGAGCGAACAGACGAGGAGCUUACUCCUCUGACGUUAGCGGCGGACGGGUGAGUAACACGUGGAUAACCUACCUAUAAGACUGGGAUAACUUCGGGAAACCGGAGCUAAUACCGGAUAACAUGUUGAACCGCAUGGUUCAACAGUGAAAGACGGUCUUGCUGUCACUUAUAGAUGGAUCCGCGUCGCAUUAGCUAGUUGGUAAGGUAACGGCUUACCAAGGCAACGAUGCGUAGCCGACCUGAGAGGGUGAUCGGCCACACUGGAACUGAGACACGGUCCAGACUCCUACGGGAGGCAGCAGUAGGGAAUCUUCCGCAACGGGCGAAAGCCUGACGGAGCAACGCCGCGUGAGUGAAGAAGGUCUUCGGAUCGUAAAACUCUGUUAUUAGGGAAGAACAAAUGUGUAAGUAACUAUGCACGUCUUGACGGUACCUAAUCAGAAAGCCACGGCUAACUACGUG
RNAcentral lists this ribosomal RNA (497 nucleotides) under uncultured bacterium. Its description in RNAcentral is "partial 16S ribosomal RNA". It matches the Rfam family "Bacterial small subunit ribosomal RNA", at positions 28 to 507 of the family's 1533-position model. The record is from RNAcentral.